This 465-nucleotide ribosomal RNA is filed under the name uncultured bacterium. RNAcentral describes it as "partial 16S ribosomal RNA". It matches the Rfam family "Bacterial small subunit ribosomal RNA", at positions 28 to 507 of the family's 1533-position model. The record is from RNAcentral.
GACGAACGCUGGCGGCGUGCUUAACACAUGCAAGUCGAACGGAAAGGCCCUGCUUGCCGGGUACUCGAGUGGCGAACGGGUGAGUAACACGUGGGUGAUCUGCCCUGCACUUCGGGAUAAGCCUGGGAAACUGGGUCUAAUACCGGAUAGGAGCCAUUUUUAGUGUGAUGGUUGGAAAGUUUUUUCGGUGUAGGAUGAGCUCGCGGCCUAUCAGCUUGUUGGUGGGGUAAUGGCCUACCAAGGCGGCGACGGGUAGCCGGCCUGAGAGGGGGGACGGCCACAUUGGGACUGAGAUACGGCCCAGACUCCUACGGGAGGCAGCAGUGGGGAAUAUUGCACAAUGGGCGCAAGCCUGAUGCAGCGACGCCGCGGGGGGGAGGACGGCCUUCGGGUUGUAAACUCCUUUCGCUAGGGACGAAGCUUUGUGUGACGGUACCUAGAUAAGAAGCACCGGCUAACUACGUG